Molecule: small nuclear RNA, 108 nt
Organism: Papio anubis (olive baboon)
Lineage: Eukaryota; Metazoa; Chordata; Mammalia; Primates; Cercopithecidae
Gene: U2
Rfam family: U2 spliceosomal RNA
About the family: U2 is a small nuclear RNA (snRNA) component of the spliceosome (involved in pre-mRNA splicing). Complementary binding between U2 snRNA (in an area lying towards the 5' end but 3' to hairpin I) and the branchpoint sequence (BPS) of the intron results the bulging out of an unpaired adenosine, on the BPS, which initiates a nucleophilic attack at the intronic 5' splice site, thus starting the first of two transesterification reactions that mediate splicing.
Source: Ensembl
AUCGCUCCUUAGCCCUUUGGUUAAGAUCGAGUGUAAUAUCUGUUCUUAUCAGUUUAAAACAAAAAAGUGUAAGAAUUAUACUUUUAUAAUAAAAGUAUAAGAACAUUU